CACACAGGCAGGCAGGCCAGAGGGCUGAAGAGCUAUGCCUUCUCCUCUUUGUCUUUACACACCCAGCAGAACCGGAGGCCUCACUUCCUACCUACUUUCCUUGUUUGACCACUCUACUUUGAUGCAAAUCCAAUGGCCAUUCAUAUCCUGGGCUUGUUCAAGAAGAGCCCACUUGUGGUGACCUCGGAGAAGGCAGGAUAUAGGCGCCCUGAAGCUCUCGCCAGGCGGAGGUGCACCUGCUAUCAGAGCCGCCCCCAGCUGGCCUUUUGGAGUGUGCGGGAGGAGGUAAUGGAAGGUCUCCCCUGACAUGUUGCCCUCAAAAAAAGCCUCCUUGAAUGUUUCAUCUCACCCUCUUCUUUCAUUCCAUGGGA
This is a long non-coding RNA of Zalophus californianus (California sea lion), 371 nucleotides long. RefSeq lists it as uncharacterized. The record is from RefSeq and is a predicted model, not a curated record. The transcript has 3 exons. NCBI's taxonomy places the organism in Eukaryota, Metazoa, Chordata, Mammalia, Carnivora, Otariidae.